This 1043-nucleotide unclassified non-coding RNA is filed under the name Hevea brasiliensis (rubber tree). Lineage: Eukaryota; Viridiplantae; Streptophyta; Magnoliopsida; Malpighiales; Euphorbiaceae. The record is from RNAcentral.
UUUUUUUUUUAGCUUAUGAGCUCAAAAAAUUAUUAUAAACAAACAGAUUAAGCUUAUUUUAAGAACUUAUAAGUUAAGACAAACGUUAUCUUAUUCUCCUCAUGUAUGAGUUUUUGCUCUUUGAACCAUCUUUGAAGUGUAUGAUUUCUCUUCUUAUGUGGUGCAUAUGGCAUUCCUAUUCCCCAUCAGCCUUGCUCAUCUGGAUAUGCACCUAACAAUGAUGAGAGAUGUUGAAUAAAAAUGGUAAACCUCACCUGCACUAUAAAUUGUGAAGCCUCAUUAGGGUAUUGGUUAGGCCACUGUCACUUCAUUUAGCAUCAAUUUUUCUGUGCUGUAACAAUUUAAUCCAGAGAAGAGUUACAUUCUUUUGGCUCAUAGAGUUUCUAUUAGGCAUGGGAGUUCGUAAGCCAGUUAUGCAAUAUGCUUGGCCCUUUGUUUUCCACCGCAUCUACAAAACAAGAUUAUGAUUCCUUAAUAUAGUUUAAUUUCAUAGAUGAGAUUUCUCAUGUUGAAAAAGUAGCGGCUCAUUUCUAUGAUUUCCUUAAAUGUUUGAUUAAUAGUAUUAUUGUUUUUACUAUUUAAAGGAUAAUAUACACUUAUGUACCCAGUGGUUUAGCAAUUUUAUUAUCGAGGGCAUGGGAAAUUGUUUGUUGCAAGUUAAGACUUGUGAUUUUUUACCGUUAGCACUUGGGAAAUAAAAUGUCUUAACGGUGUCAAAAAUGCUGGCGUGGCAAUGUUAAAAACUGCCACCUCAGAAAAAAAAAGAGCCAUGUCAGCAUUUUUUAAAACCAUUAGACAUUUUGUCACUUGAAUGCUAAAGGUGCAAAACUAUAAAUCUUGACUUGCAACAAAAAAUUCCUCAGACUCUCAAUAAUUAAAGCACUAAACCACAAGAUACCUAGGCGUACUUUACGCUUAUUUAAAUCAGGUUCUCAUUGAAGCUGGAAAAUUCCUCAUAUUUGCUCUGUAUUUUUCUGUUGGUAUUAAAAUUGUAACACUACUUAUAAUGGAGUUAUGCAGAUCAUAAAGACUGCAAGUAUGAG